This 87-nucleotide ribosomal RNA is filed under the name Bacteroides thetaiotaomicron. RNAcentral also lists the same sequence under 2 other names. Lineage: Bacteria; Pseudomonadati; Bacteroidota; Bacteroidia; Bacteroidales; Bacteroidaceae. The record is from RNAcentral.
CCACCUCUUCCCAUUCCGAACAGAGAAGUUAAGCCUCGUCACGCCGAUGGUACUGCGUAACAGUGGGAGAGUAGGUAGCCGCCGUUU